ACCUACGGGGGGCAGCAGUAAGGAAUCUUGCGCAAUGGGCGAAAGCCUGACGCAGCGACGCCGCGUGGGGGAUGAAGGCCCUCGGGUUGUAAACCCCUUUCGGCAGGGACGAAGCGGUUUCGUGACGGUACCUGCAGAAGAAGCCUCGGCUAACUACGUGCCAGCAGCCGCGGUAAGACGUAGGAGGCGAGCGUUGUCCGGAUUCAUUGGGCGUAAAGAGCACGCAGGCGGUUUGGCAAGUCGGAUGUGAAAACCCGGAGCUCAACUCCGGGCCUGCAUCCGAAACUGCCCGACUAGAGGUAGGUAGGGGAGAUCGGAAUUCCUGGUGUAGCGGUGAAAUGCGCAGAUAUCAGGAGGAACACCGGUGGCGAAGGCGGAUCUCUGGGCCUUACCUGACGCUCAGGUGCGAAAGCUAGGGGAGCGAACAGGAUUAGAUACCCUGGUAGA
This 447-nucleotide ribosomal RNA is filed under the name uncultured bacterium. Its description in RNAcentral is "bacterial SSU rRNA". It matches the Rfam family "Bacterial small subunit ribosomal RNA", at positions 337 to 794 of the family's 1533-position model. The record is from RNAcentral.